Molecule: long non-coding RNA, 1430 nt
Organism: Phyllopteryx taeniolatus (common seadragon)
Lineage: Eukaryota; Metazoa; Chordata; Actinopteri; Syngnathiformes; Syngnathidae
Exons: 5
Source: RefSeq, a predicted model, not a curated record
GUGUUUUCCUGUGUUUUGUAGUUAUGCAAGGAUCCAUCAAGCAUGCCUUUGGAAAAAAAUGACCACCGCCUCCCGCUGAUUCAACAAUUGUUACAGGAGAGAGUCCCUCUGACUGGUCAAUGUUAUGGAAGGAUCCAAAAAGCUCGCCUUUGAAAAAAAUGUUACCUGUGACCACCGCCUCCCGCUGAUUCAACAAUUGUUACAGGAGAGAGUCCCUCUGACUGGUCAAUGGUCCACUGCAGUUGGAAUUGUUACCAUACCUCACAAAUUCAGAGUACCAUUGUGAGCAAAAGUGGCCUGUCGCAGAUUACAACAGGCCUGAUGAGCUACUCAGGUGUUACAAACUGAACUCAGCAGAGGCCAAGGGCAGCUGUGGCCCAAUGGUUAAGAUCAGAGUCUGCCACUGUGGUUCAAGACCCCGACUGGACCAUCCGCCAACAUCCCCCGGACUCACGGCUGUGGUGUCCUUGGGCAAGACACUGAUACCCCGAAAUGCUCCCUGGGCGCUUCAGCUGCCCCCUGCUCCAGUGUGUUCCACUAACACUGUAUGUGUUCAUGGCCACCCCAAGGAUAAAAGUCUAGCUCUGCCACUGACUGACUGAAUUGGCAAAUGUUAUUACACCUUCAAAAUGACAGACCGGUUGAUUUGUACCCCAGCACCUGAAUUUGGUUUAUGUGUUCACACAUGAGCAAACGAACCAAGCAGCUAAACAAAGAAGAUUUCAAUUAAAAUGGACCAAACUACCGGUAUACGAAAAGCAUCUAAUGUGUUUUAAACACAAAAAUAUUGCUGCAUAAAGUGUCACCCAUGAAGUCUUUGCUUGCUGUUCCAGUUCAAGCACGGAUGCAUGAUUUUGCUUAAAACCGCCAUUCAGAUUAUGCCUACCCCAUGAUGUUGUGAGAAUAUCUUGGAUGAAGGUCUGGUUGUAAGUACACUGUGAGGAGGGAAAGUGGUUUAUCACAGACACCACCUCUAGGCCAAACAGGUCAGGAAGAUAUACUGCAUACACACACAAUCGAAGACGUGUGAGAAAAUGACAUCGGUCUUGAUGCCCUGACCCCCUACGCACACACACACAACCGCCCCUACUCACUUCACUCUCAUAUCUCCAGGCCCAGCUGUGUUUUACAGAAAUAGGCUUUCGCAGUUGCCGACACUAAAUCCUCCUUUGAGGUCGAAGCCUUGAUUAUGUACUGUCUAAACUGCUCAAAAGUUCCUGACAUGUCAUGUUUGAUGCCUUGUUUAGUCUAAAAUGAGUCAGGUUUUCUAGUUCACAUUUUAAAAUGCUGUUUUAUGGGCAGAAGCUACACUUUGAAUGACCCAAAUGUAUGACAAUCACCAAUCAGAUGUGCCCUAUUACGUUAUUCAAACAAAUACAGUACACUAUGAGGGACAGUCAAAAGGUAUGUGCCCAAUUCAAUAUACAGUA